This is a non-coding RNA of Pogona vitticeps (central bearded dragon), 3094 nucleotides long. The record is from RefSeq and is a predicted model, not a curated record. NCBI's taxonomy places the organism in Eukaryota, Metazoa, Chordata, Lepidosauria, Squamata, Agamidae.
UGGUGCCUCCCCCGAACUAUUGGAAAGGGUACUAGUUCACGGAGGGAGCCAAACCCAGUAAUUCAGAACUGGGGAUCAUUUCCACCUUUCAGAAGGACCGCCGUUUUCCAGAACUUGUCCUGGACAUGGUAGUGCGGUUAACGGAGAAACAGCAAAACAGAGUUCCACCCGAGCAGCUGGAAGCUUGGUGUGUAACCAAGAUAAACGAGAAGGACCCCACAUCGCCCCAGCCUCUUUUAACGAGCAUCGAAAUACACCGUGCCGUCCGCUAUCGACAGGAAGUCGCCGUUCGCGUCCGAAUCAGAGAAGCGUUUGGGCUGAAAGGGUCCCGUGCCUUCUCAGAGUGAGACACACACCCCCAGGAACCAGGUCAGGCCAAAUCCUGGUCUUUGCUUGUUUACUUUCUGCUUGGUGUCAUUGCACCCCAUAAGGAGCGAGGAGCCCGUGAUUUUCCUCCAUUCACCAGCCCGGCCCACUGGAUAAGCGCGUUCGCUCCCUCACUUCAAACCCUGGCAUUUCAUGUGAACACAAGGCAAAGGAACUUGGCUGCCAUCCGUUCAGAAAUGUUCUCACAAGACCAACCCUCCCUUCUUCUUUUUUUAAAAAUCCUUUUGCAAAAUAAGCAGUUACGAGACCAGCUUUCUAAAACGCAUUGCACAGUGUCUACUAUUUACGAUCCUCUCGAAACAUCUGAACAUCUGUUGUGCGCAGAAACAUUAACUGCUGAGGAACUGCUUCCCACGAUGAAGGGAAGUCAAGACAGUUCAGCAGUUGCCCGUAGCAGCUUGAAGCUCAAGACGGAUGCUCAGAAGUAUCUCUGUGUGCAUUUCAGUGCCCCCAAGAGCCCUCCUAUCAGCCAAGGCUCUCCUCAGUUCUCCUCAAAAGGUCCUGCAUCUCCCCGUCUUGAUGCCUGCACGGUUUUGCUGGUCCAGCUGUACGGCCUGGACGCCGUUUACAUCCCGGAUCCCAUUAGGCGGAGGCCCGGCAAAGUGGCGCCACCUGCUGUCCAGGCCUUGGAGCUGAAUGUGCAGUCACAACGGGGAUGGAGGGCUCUCCCGCUCUUUGACAGGUAUGCCAUCCCCGGAGAUGUCAGAGCAUAUAUUUGACCACAAUUUGAACUAAAUGAGAGCCAUUGGCUGAAUGGGUCACCGCUGGAGAAGGCCCACUGAAUCAGUGGGGACGUGAAGCUAUGUGAGAAGUGGGGUGCAUCGUGCCCCAUUGUUUCGGGGGGUGCCAACAGCCGAAUUUCUGCAGAGGCUGGCGGCCCAUCUCGUGAAAGAUGUCCUGGCGGGAGGUUUGAAAAGCAAGAGGCUCCAGCUUCUGAAGGGGGCCUACGUUAGCCUCGCUGUGGGGAUCUGGGACGGCCACUACUUUGAUGACGAAUAACCCGAGUUGCCGGUGAUACAUGACCUUCUCACCAUUGACAAGACCAAGAAAUUUUUGGCAACCCAGACCCGCAAAAAGGGACCGGAUAUGUCGCAACUUGUUCUGAAAACUCUAGAUUAAAAAAUCGAUGAAACUGGGUCGCAAUAGCCUGGAAUAUCAGCACCAGGAACGUCUGUACAAGGAAGCGAUGGAGAAGAACGCCUUUUACAACGUGGUGAUCAGUGAGAGAAAUAACAUCCGCUUGGAAUACACUGUUCUUCUUCUUCAUCAUCAUCAUCCAGAUCCCUGCAAUUUGUGGAACUGUUCUCUGUGCAAAACUAGUAGGCUUCUCCUUUGAGGAGCCAUGUAUAGUAGGCGCUUGCACAUGAACACACACACACACACACACACACACACACACACGAGUGAGCACUGAACAAUGGGCCCAUUGUCAGGAAAGGUACAGAUAACUCCCCUCUCUGUGCUACAUAGUCACUAGCCAUCAUAAGUUUGUGUAAUGUCCGUGGAUUGCUUUAAGAUGUUGUUUGCAGCCUUUUUGCAACUUGGGAUGCCUUACCUGUGGGGUCAGCCUCUGCAGAUUCACUUACCUUCUUCCUGAAAAUAUUAAAUUAAAAAAAAAACCCAGAAAUAUGUAUUUAGAUGCAUUUCCAUGUUGUAUCUACAAGGACUGGCCACUAGAGGGAGAUUUUUAGCCUCCACAGGAGGCUACCAUCUUUAGGGCCCUACCGUAUUUAUUUGCACAGUCCUGCUUAGUGUGCUUUUUGGUUUGUUUGUUUUUUUUAAAAGCUGCUGCUGCUUUCUUACCGUUGAGAGAGCCGCACUACACCUCACCCACAGACAGGACGAGUCAAACAGUUUUGCAGUUCCUCAUCCUUGCGCUUGAAAAGACAGAAAACAGCGCUACUGAAUGCAGGAUAUGGCCCAUUAUGAAUCUUUCUUCUUCUUGAACGCUAUCAAUGAAAGAAAGAAGAAGAUGGGAUCAUGCAUUUUUAAAGACUCUGCCUUGCAGCCAAGAUGUAUAUGACAGCACUGCUAAUCUGGAGGCGUUAGACGGAAGGAGGAUUUCUGAAUCUGUAAACACAAGAUCCUGAGUACCCUAUGGGGAGAAAGACAGCAUAUAAAUAGUAUAAAUAAUAUAAAUAAAUAAGUAAGUAAGUAAGUACUGGUGGCCUCAGAGCCCAUUCCCAAAUAGCCAAGACAACCGACAGCCCAUUGAACGGACCCUUGGCUGGCUGAUACUGUGCUGAAUCCGGACCCCUCUCAUCCCACAGAUGUUGGAAAUGCCUCCGGUUUACUGCCACCGUGCCCUGAGGUUGGGCCAACGUUGCAGCCCCGUCUCUGGGCUGGCAGAUCCAGCCUAAUUUGGCUCCUUCCUUGGCCCUCCCCUUCCUUCCAGCUCCUGUGCCAGCAGAUCUCUGCCCCCCCCCAGAUGGCUCUCCUGCUGGCAGACGUCUGUGAUCAAGUGGCAGAAGAGGCUGGAUGCCCCCUCUUCUUAACCGUCUACAGCUGGCACAUCUUGGUGCUGGGAUUACGCUGUUAAUCUGCAGGACGGUCUUACAAGACUGGAUAUGAUGGGGGAGGUCACAUCUGUGUUUCAAGAAAUGCAAGAUAUGAUGGCCCCGACUUUUUAGAUAAUCACCAUUGUCCCUGAAGACUUUUGAGCAGGUGAUUCUAUGUUUUGCCCCCCAUCCCACCCCGUAAAGUGUGU